GUCUACCAUAGCAUCUGACUGAAUCUGAAGCUGUUGGGGAAAGUAACAACCUAACCUGGGUGCUGUACCAAACAAAAUCUCAUAAGGUGAUAGGCUAUAUUUUCCCCUAGGAGUGUACCUUACACUAAACAACGCUAAUGGGAGACUCUCAGGCCAGGGCAUGUUAGUUUCUUGUGACAUUUUAAGCAUUCUGGCUUUCAAAGUGCCAUUCAUGCGCUCUACCUUACCACUACUCUGUGGGUGAUAUGGUG
Pelobates cultripes (western spadefoot toad) is the source of this 251-nucleotide non-coding RNA. The record is from the annotation of a GenBank genome assembly. NCBI's taxonomy places the organism in Eukaryota, Metazoa, Chordata, Amphibia, Anura, Pelobatidae.